GACGAACGCUGGCGGCGUGCCUAAUACAUGCAAGUCGAACGCUUCUUUCCUCCCGAGUGCUUGCACUCAAUUGGAAAGAGGAGUGGCGGACGGGUGAGUAACACGUGGGUAACCUACCCAUCAGAGGGGGAUAACACUUGGAAACAGGUGCUAAUACCGCAUAACAGUUUAUGCCGCAUGGCAUAAGAGUGAAAGGCGCUUUCGGGUGUCGCUGAUGGAUGGACCCGCGGUGCAUUAGCUAGUUGGUGAGGUAACGGCUCACCAAGGCCACGAUGCAUAGCCGACCGGAGAGGGUGAUCGGCCACACUGGGACUGAGACACGGCCCAGACUCCUACGGGAGGCAGCAGUAGGGAAUCUUCGGCAAUGGACGAAAGUCUGACCGAGCAACGCCGCGUGAGUGAAGAAGGUUUUCGGAUCGUAAAACUCUGUUGUUAGAGAAGAACAAGGACGUUAGUAACUGAACGUCCCCUGACGGUAUCUAACCAGAAAGCCACGGCUAACUACGU
RNAcentral lists this ribosomal RNA (507 nucleotides) under uncultured bacterium. Its description in RNAcentral is "partial 16S ribosomal RNA". It matches the Rfam family "Bacterial small subunit ribosomal RNA", at positions 28 to 506 of the family's 1533-position model. The record is from RNAcentral.